CGGCGGGCGGGGCGGUCAGCACCCCGGACAGCUCCCGCCGCUAGAUCCUGGGGCCGCAGCUCCAGCCGCCGCCGCGCGCUCUGCCUCCACAAUGCGGCCACAGCGGCGGCGGGAGGAGGAGGGUGAAUCCCCGCUCAGUCCAUCCCUCAUUCCUGUGCCAGCUCGGCGACGUACACUGCUGCUUAGGGAGCAAAGCACUUCCACCGCUUUCACGCGACGAAGGUCGGAAGAGCAAGAGAGAGAAAGGAAUAACUUAAUUCACUGAUAAGUUUGGAGGAAAACCUGAUCAUGGAUUGUCCCACUCCUUCUUCUCUCCUUGCCUUUAAGGAGCUGGCUGCCUACAGAAAGCCUGUGUUCUGCUCUGCUUCCCUAUGUGAAAAUUACCAGAGACAGCAUAACAAAGCAUGUGAUUUUCUGUGCUGCCUGUGACUCUGGUGGGUAAGUCUGCCUCAUUCUGGAAUUCAGUAUUAUAAAGCCCAUUUGUCUGCAGCUCUAAGACACAUUUGCCAAUAUCAGAUUUACCAGUAAUAAAGACAGUGUUUUAAUCUGUCUGCCUGACUCCUUUGCCUUAUCUCCUGAUUGGCUCAAAACUCUGGCCAGCAAGAAGAUCAACAGUUCAUCAGGCCACCUCAAAACCCAGUAUAUUAGAGCAUGAAUUCAGACACCUAUGGUCUGCAAGAAUACUUUCAACUUUAAAAAGAAGUCCAUGAUUUACAUUCCUGCCUGUCACUCAGAAGCCAAAAAAGAGACAGAAUGCCAUCGACUCAGAGAUAUUAAAAGUGGAAGAAGAAUAAGAUCAUCUGUUCACAGCUUUGUGAAGAGGAAACUAAAUCCCAGAGAAAGAAACCUAACAAGUGGCAGAACCAGAACUAUGACUCAGAUCUCUUGAUUCCCAUGCAGUCCAAGAAGGACUUUAUCUAUGAGAAGAAGGUAUUCAGUUUCAUUCAUUCCUGAAAAAGAAACAAAACAAAACAUUAAGCUGUCUUCCAGAGUAUUUGUCUCCAAGCUAUCCCCACUGUUUUCUUCACAUGCAUCUGUUGACCCAUUAUAUAGCCCAAAAAAAAUAUAAAAAUAAAGAAAAAGAAAAAAAGAGAGAGGGAGAGAACUGGAUAUUUAGCCACUUGAGUAAUGCCACACUUAAGCACUGAAGUACCUUUCGCUCAGUGAUUUUUACUUGAUCAAAGAAAAAGCCUAUUACUUCCUGUAAUUACCUGGGUAACUGAAGAAAUGUCUACUGAUGAUUCAUAAUAGCUAACCUCAGAAGAACCCUUACCAUUGUUUCCUUUGUGACUUUCACGUUCUUCUAACUGCUUUGAGCUGUAGAAGCCUUCCUCACUCUCAGGUGGUCUUACCUUCUUCUCAGAGAGAAUGAAGACUUCAGAAAGAAAUGUCCCUUCCCAGCCUGGACAACAGAGUGAGAUCUCAUCUCUACAAAAAAAUUUUAAAAAUUAGCCAGCCAUGGUGGCUCAUACAUGUUGUCCCAGCUUAUAAGGAGACUGAGGUGGAAGGACCACUCAAACCUGGGAAGUCCAGGUUGCAAUGAGCCAUGAUCACGCUACUGCGCUCCAGCCUGGGUGACAGAACAAGACC
Molecule: long non-coding RNA, 1590 nt
Organism: Homo sapiens (human)
Lineage: Eukaryota; Metazoa; Chordata; Mammalia; Primates; Hominidae
Source: Ensembl